This is a long non-coding RNA of Seriola dumerili (greater amberjack), 250 nucleotides long. RefSeq lists it as uncharacterized. The record is from RefSeq and is a predicted model, not a curated record. Lineage: Eukaryota; Metazoa; Chordata; Actinopteri; Carangiformes; Carangidae. The transcript has 3 exons.
CGGAUACUGGAAUACGUCACGAGUUGCAAGCCUGAGGCCCCCAGACACAUAGAGGAGGCUCCGAUCCCAGAGGACUGGCCAAAGAGCGGAGCCAUCACCUUCCAGGACUAUAAGAUGAGGUACAGAGAGAAUACACCCAUCGUCCUGAAUGGGCUCAAUUUCUUCAUCCAAGCUGGAGAGAAGCUGGGCAUUGUGGGAAGGACAGGCUCUGGGAAGUCCUCUUUAGGCGUGGCUCUGUUCAGGCUGGUGG